RNAcentral lists this transfer RNA (71 nucleotides) under Loxodonta africana (African savanna elephant). It matches the Rfam family "tRNA". From Rfam's summary of the family: Transfer RNA (tRNA) molecules are approximately 80 nucleotides in length. The record is from Rfam by way of RNAcentral. Lineage: Eukaryota; Metazoa; Chordata; Mammalia; Proboscidea; Elephantidae.
GCAUUGGUGGUUCAGUGGUAGAAUUCUCACCUUCCAAGUGGAAGAAGCACGUUCAAUUCAGGGCCAACGCA